Molecule: ribosomal RNA, 483 nt
Filed under: uncultured bacterium
Lineage: Bacteria
Description: partial 16S ribosomal RNA
Rfam family: Bacterial small subunit ribosomal RNA
Source: RNAcentral
GAUGAACGCUGGCGGCGUGCCUAACACAUGCAAGUCGAACGGAGUCGUUUUGGAAAUCUCUUCGGAGAUGGAAUUCUCGACUUAGUGGCGGACGGGUGAGUAACGCGUGAGCAAUCUGCCUUUAAGAGGGGGAUAACAGUCGGAAACGGCUGCUAAUACCGCAUAAAGCAUUAAAUUCGCAUGUUUUUGAUGCCAAAGGAGCAAUCCGCUUUUAGAUGAGCUCGCGUCUGAUUAGCUAGUUGGCGGGGUAACGGCCCACCAAGGCGACGAUCAGUAGCCGGACUGAGAGGUUGAACGGCCACAUUGGGACUGAGACACGGCCCAGACUCCUACGGGAGGCAGCAGUGGGGAAUAUUGCGCAAUGGGGGAAACCCUGACGCAGCAACGCCGCGUGAUUGAAGAAGGCCUUCGGGGUGUAAAGAUCUUUAAUCAGGGACGAAACAAAUGACGGUACCUGAAGAAUAAGCGCCGGCUAACUACGUG